RNAcentral lists this ribosomal RNA (478 nucleotides) under uncultured bacterium. RNAcentral's name for it is "partial 16S ribosomal RNA". It matches the Rfam family "Bacterial small subunit ribosomal RNA", at positions 28 to 507 of the family's 1533-position model. The record is from RNAcentral.
GAUUAACGCUGGCGGCGUGCAUAACACAUGCAAGUCGAACGAUGAAACUCAUUAGAUUUCUUCGGAAUGAAAAUGAAUGGAUUAGUGGCGAACGGGUGAGUAACGCGUGAGUAACCUGCCUUACACAAGGGGAUAGCCUCUGGAAACGGAGAAUAAUACCCUAUGAAACCAGACAAUCGCAUGAUAAUCUGGUCAAAAUGUUUAGUGGUGUAAGAUGGACUUGCGUCUGAUUAGCUAGUUGGUGAGAUAAAAGCUCACCAAGGCAACGAUCAGUAGCCGGCUUGAGAGAGUGUACGGCCACAUUGGGACUGAGACACGGCCCAGACUCCUACGGGAGGCAGCAGUGGGGAAUUUUGCACAAUGGGGGAAACCCUGAUGCAGCGACGCCGCGUGAUUUAGAAGGCCUUCGAGUUGUAAAAAUCUUUUGUAUAGGAAGAAAAUGACAGUACUAUACGAAUAAGGUCCGGCUAAUUACGUG